Molecule: ribosomal RNA, 434 nt
Filed under: uncultured Clostridium sp.
Lineage: Bacteria; Bacillati; Bacillota; Clostridia; Eubacteriales; Clostridiaceae
Description: partial 16S ribosomal RNA
Rfam family: Bacterial small subunit ribosomal RNA
Source: RNAcentral
ACGGGAGGCAGCAGUGGGGAAUAUUGCACAAUGGGCGAAAGCCUGAUGCAGCGACGCCGCGUGAGUGAAGAAGUAUCUCGGUAUGUAAAGCUCUAUCAGCAGGGAAGAAAAUGACGGUACCUGACUAAGAAGCCCCGGCUAACUACGUGCCAGCAGCCGCGGUAAUACGUAGGGGGCAAGCGUUAUCCGGAUUUACUGGGUGUAAAGGGAGCGCAGGCGGUUUUUUAAGUCUGAUGUGAAAGCCCGCGGCUCAACUGCGGGACUGCAUUGGAAACUGGAGAACUAGAGUGUCGGAGGGGCAAGUGGAAUUCCUAGUGUAGCGGUGAAAUGCGUAGAUAUUAGGAGGAACACCAGUGGCGAAGGCGGCUUACUGGACGAUAACUGACGUUGAGGCUCGAAAGCGUGGGGAGCAAACAGGAUUAGAUACCCUGGUA